This 301-nucleotide ribosomal RNA is filed under the name uncultured bacterium. RNAcentral's name for it is "partial 16S ribosomal RNA". It matches the Rfam family "Bacterial small subunit ribosomal RNA", at positions 509 to 807 of the family's 1533-position model. The record is from RNAcentral.
CAGUAGCCACGGUAAUACAGAGGGUGCGAGCGUUAAUCGGAUUUACUGGGCGUAAAGCGUGCGUAGGCGGCUAAUUGAGUCGGAUGUGAAAUCCCCGAGCUUAACUUGGGAAUUGCAUUCGAUACUGGUUAGCUAGAGUGUGGGAGAGGAUGGUAGAAUUCCAGGUGUAGCGGUGAAAUGCGUAGAGAUCUGGAGGAAUACCGAUGGCGAAGGCAGCCAUCUGGCCUAACACUGACGCUGAGGUACGAAAGCAUGGGGAGCAAACAGGAUUAGAUACCCGCGUAGUCCCUGUCUCUUAUAC